This 253-nucleotide ribosomal RNA is filed under the name uncultured bacterium. Its description in RNAcentral is "partial 16S ribosomal RNA". It matches the Rfam family "Bacterial small subunit ribosomal RNA", at positions 524 to 776 of the family's 1533-position model. The record is from RNAcentral.
UACGAAGGGGGCAAGCGUUGUUCGGAAUUACUGGGCGUAAAGGGCGCGUAGGCGGCCCUGCAAGUCAGGCGUGAAAUUCCCGGGCUCAACCUGGGGGCUGCGCUUGAGACUGUGGGGCUAGAGGCCGAGAGAGGGUGGUGGAAUUCCCAGUGUAGAGGUGAAAUUCGUAGAUAUUGGGAAGAACACCGGUGGCGAAGGCGGCCACCUGGCUCGGUUCUGACGCUGAGGCGCGACAGCGUGGGGAGCAAACAGG